UACCUCACAGAGUAUAUUAAUACCUCUUAAGGAUCUCUUCAGGAUCGGUGUACCGGGAUGGUUGUUGCUAAUGUGACUACAUGACGUUAACUGCCUGUCGGUCUGUUGUUGAGCGGCUGGUAUCACCCCUCCCCCAUUAUCCCCCAUGUUGUUCCACCUCCUUGUGGGAGGAGCCAGGCGAGGCCACAGAUCAGAGUACAUUAAUAACUCUUAAGGAUCUCUUCAGGAUCGGUGUACCGGGAUGGUUGUUGCUAAUGUGACAACAUGACGUUGUAAGUAACAGUAAACUUUACAGGACAUGUCUUGUAUGGACAGAAAACAUUCUUGUUAACCUUUAUACGAGGUGUUGGACGCUAACAAUUCAUUAAAAAUCCUACGAUGUGAUUUUCUGGAUUUCUUCUCCUCAUUUUGUGUCAGCGUUGAAGUGUACCUAUGAUGAAAAUUACAGGCCUCUCUCAUAUUUUUAAGUGGGAGAACUUGCACAAUUGGUGGCUGACUAAAUACUUUUUUGCCCCACUCUAUGCAUAUCCUAGUUUCUGGGCUGAAUAGCAGGCAGUUUACCUUGGGCUUUUCAUCCGGUGGUGAAAAUAGUGCCCCCUAACCUAGUGAGGUUAAUCUAACUGCACUGUCCAAUUUACAGUAGCUAUUACAGUGGAAUAAUACUAUUGUUUGGUGAGAGUAGAAAAACAUGUUAUAGCAGCAACUGGUUUGAUACAUUCACCUCUUGUCAUGUCCUGACCUUGGUUCCUUGUUUUUGUCUCUAUUUUAGGUUGGUCAGGGCAUAUUUUAGGUUGGUCAGGGCGUGAGUUGGGGUGGGCAUUCUAUGUUUGGCCUGGUAUGGCUCUCAAUCAGAGGUAGCUGUCAAUCGUUGUCCCUGAUUGAGGACCAUACUUAGGCAGCCUGUUUUUCCCACUUGAGUUGUGAGUGAUUAUUUUCUGUUUAGUGUUUUGUUGCACCUUGCAGAACUGUUCGUUGUGUCGGUUUGUUGUUUUUUUGUUCAAGUAUUCAUCUUCAUUAAACUCAUUAUGAAUACGCUGCACUUUGG
This is a long non-coding RNA of Oncorhynchus masou masou (cherry salmon), 1045 nucleotides long. RefSeq lists it as uncharacterized. The transcript is spliced from 3 exons. NCBI's taxonomy places the organism in Eukaryota, Metazoa, Chordata, Actinopteri, Salmoniformes, Salmonidae. The record is from RefSeq and is a predicted model, not a curated record.